This 371-nucleotide ribosomal RNA is filed under the name uncultured organism. Its description in RNAcentral is "partial 16S ribosomal RNA". It matches the Rfam family "Bacterial small subunit ribosomal RNA", at positions 527 to 896 of the family's 1533-position model. The record is from RNAcentral.
GUAGGUGGCAAGCGUUGUCCGGAAUUAUUGGGCGUAAAGCGCGCGCAGGGCGGUCCUUUAAGUCUGAUGUGAAAGCCCACGGCUCAACCGUGGAGGGUCAUUGGAAACUGGGGGACUUGAGUACAGAAGAGGAAAGCGGAAUUCCAAGUGUAGCGGUGAAAUGCGUAGAGAUUUGGAGGAACACCAGUGGCGAAGGCGGCUUUCUGGUCUGUAACUGACGCUGAGGCGCGAAAGCGUGGGAGCAAACAGGAUUAGAUACCCUGGUAGUCCACGCCGUAAACGAUGAGUGCUAAGUGUUAGGGGGUUUCCGCCCCUUAGUGCUGCAGCUAACGCAUUAAGCACUCCGCCUGGGGAGUACGGCCGCAAGGCUG